ACCAUUUGACAGAUCUUAAUACUUUACAAGUGGCAAAAGCAACAGGACAUUCUGUCACAGCUACUCUACCACCCAAGAAAUGAGAUGGGAGAUGUGGGACGUCAUCUGCGUUUGGAGAGCUGAUGAUGUAACCUAAUAAUAACCUAACGUAACCUACACAAUCAACACAGUUCUUGUAAUGCAGUGAAGUUAGUUCAAUUAUCUUAGACCUUAAACAACAUACCUCAAGGUCUGUGAACCACUGCCAUCAUGCAUCUUAUAGCAAAAAUGAAGCCAAACGACAUUGUUUCUUAACAGUUGAGGAACCUUAAUGAUUUUUUUAGUAGCCUACUUCAACAAUAACUGAUUGUAUAAUUCAAAAGAUUUUAUUUUAGUAUUUCUUUUUAUUUUAUAGUUUUUUUCCUUUUUUUUUCAGAAAGGAUGCAUUAAACGGAUCAAAAGUGACAGUAAAUAGAUUUAGGUAUAACGUUAUACAUAUAUAUAUUUUUUUAUUAAAUGCUGUUCUUUUGAACUUUCUAUUAAUCAAAGAAUCCUGAGAAAAAUACAUUGCGGUUUCCACCAAAAUAUCAAGCAGUGCAAUUGUUUUCAUUGUUGAUAAUAAUAAGAAAUGUUUUCUUGAACAUCAAGUCAGCAUAUUAGAAUGAUUUCUAAUAUGCUGAUUUCAAAGGAAAUUGUAUUUUCUGGUAAGGAUUUUAAUGUUAAGUAUUUAAUUAAGCAACAUUCUGUGAACAAUUAACUAUUCUAAUUCAAGUGUCAUACCACUUUAGUACACAUAAUACCAUAAUAGUCCUUGGAUUAUUUUGGGUUGGACAUGAUGCAAGUAAAGACAUGCACCAAGUCCAGAGCUGUUUUGACUAGGGCUGCCAAUAAUACAACUAACCGUUAGUCAAUCAGAAGAGGCUUGGUCGACCAAAAAUUUUAUUAGAUGCUUAGUUGCAGAAAAAAUAAAUAAAUUAGGUUAAACCGACUUGAUCCAAACUAAUAAUUGAAUGGUCCUAGAUUGAUUCAUUAAAACAGAAUCUGCUCAGAAGAGUCAUUUGCUUAUGAGAUAGAUUACACUUAAUUGGUAAAACACAGUAAAGAAAUGAAAUAACAGAAACAGAUUUCAGUUCCCAAGCCAAAUUGUUUCCUUAUUUAAGAGCUGUAUCAGAUCUGUAGCACUGUAACAAUGACCCAAAAAGGCAGAAUAGAAAAGCAACGUACAAAAAAAAACUGAUUAUACAAGCCCGGGCCUCCUCAUUGCCUGCCUGUUCCAGCCACAGAGACACACCAUGUACCAGCAUUAUGAUAAAACCGUUUAAUCAUUAGCCUGAACAAGGUCAGUGGUUCCCAGGGUUUCAAUUUGCGUAGUGUGAAACAAACAUAUGGAGCGCCCAGGGUGUUACCGUUAGCAUGCUAGCACAACAGACACUGAGAUUCAGUCAGAAACAGGUGCGGCUCCAAUUUCAUACCUUUCAGUAGAAAUCUCUGACUUCCAGCACCUCACAGAGUCAAGCUUAAAGGGUCACUGCAGUCACCCGGAUCCAGUACGUAUCCAGACCAGAUGGUGGAUCAGAACCUAGAAAGGACCUCUACAUCCCUGAAAGACAGUGAAGACCAGGACAACUGGAGCCCCAGAUACAGAUCCCCUGUAAAGACCUUGUCUCAGAUGACCACCAGGACAAGACCACAGGAAACAGAUGAUUCUUCUGCACAAUCUGACUUUCCUGCAGCCUGGAAUUGAACUACUGGUUUCGUCUGGUCAGAGGAGAACUGGCCCCCCAAAUGAGUCUGGUUUUUCCCAAGGUUUUUUUAUCCAUUCUGUCACCGAUGGAGUUUUGGCUCCUUGCCGCUGUCGCCUGGUUUGCUUAGUUGGGGUCACUUCAUCUACAGCAAUAUCGUUGACUUGAUUGCAAAUAAAUGCACAGACACUAUUUAAACUGAACAGAGAUGACAUCACUGAAUUCAAUGAUGAACUAACUUUAAACUGUCAUUUUGCAUUAUUGACACACUGUUUUGCUAAUGAAUGCUGUUCAGUUGCUUUGACGCAAUGUAUUUUGUUUAAAUACAUUAUACAUUAUAUGCGCUAUAUAAAUAAAGGUGACUUGACUAAUUUAUAUAGUAAUUUAUACAAUAUAUAGCCUUAAAUCACUCAGCUUAAAUACAGUAUUAAACAUAAAAAUACAGUAUUAAUACAGUAUGAAAAAAAAAAACAGAGUCAGUGUCGCUUUCAGUUAGAAUUACAACCUGAUUUUCUGUUAUAAAGCAGCUCUCCAGUGUAGAGCUAGCUAAUGAUAAAAUAUAUUUUUUUUAUAUUUAAUUAAAGUGAAAGUUUGGUUUGCAGAAACUAGCUCAGGACGGUUUUGAUUAUCAUUACCCUAUAAGGUAUUUUAAGAGAGAUUAUGUUCUGAAGGUUGUGCUUGAAUAAAAUAGUUUAUCCAAAAUAAAGGGCUCGUCAUCACUUACCUCUAUUUUGUUUCAUAUCCAUAUGACUCACAAAAGAUGUCAGUCAGAAUGAUGUCAUUCAGUGCAUUUUUCAACUAAAUGGUGAUUGAGAGAGUUUCUUUGUCAUCUCAUUUUGUGCCAAAUACAUUUAUUUGUAUAAUUAAUUGUAUAAUAACUGUAAUAAUAUGAUUUUCAAAAGCUUUAUUUGUUUGUUAGAAUAUGUAUAACACAAUAUUUAAACUAAUUGCAAAGGCUGAAUAAUAAAAGACUACUGAUUAAUCAGUGAAUUAAUCAUCAAAUCAUCAUACUAAUAAUCUUCAGAUUAAUCGAUUAUCAAAAUAAUAGUUUGUUACAGCCCUAAAUUACAUUAAUGCGAAUGUUUACACAUGAAUGAAAUUCUGUCAUCAGUUGUGUCCACACAAAACUGAGCUCCAUUGACUGUCAAUGUAUGGACAAUAAAAAAACAAUGUGUUCCAAA
Long non-coding RNA from Carassius gibelio (silver crucian carp), 2902 nucleotides. RefSeq lists it as uncharacterized. The transcript has 2 exons. The record is from RefSeq and is a predicted model, not a curated record. NCBI's taxonomy places the organism in Eukaryota, Metazoa, Chordata, Actinopteri, Cypriniformes, Cyprinidae.